GGGACUUGCUCCCUGAUGUUACGGCGGACGGGUGAGUAACACGUGGGUAACCUGCCUGUAAGACUGGGAUAACUCCGGGAAACCGGGGCUAAUACCGGAUGCUUGUUUGAACCGCAUGGUUCAAACAUAAAAGGUGGCUUCGGCUACCACUUACAGAUGGACCCGCGGCGCAUUAGCUAGUUGGUGAGGUAACGGCUCACCAAGGCAACGAUGCGUAGCCGACCUGAGAGGGUGAUCGGCCACACUGGGACUGAGACACGGCCCAGACUCCUACGGGAGGCAGCAGUAGGGAAUCUUCCGCAAUGGACGAAAGUCUGACGGAGCAACGCCGCGUGAGUGAUGAAGGUUUUCGGAUCGUAAAGCUCUGUUGUUAGGGAAGAACAAGUACCGUUCGAAUAGGGCGGUACCUUGACGGUACCUAACCAGAAAGCCACGGCUAACUACGUGCCAGCAGCCGCGAAU
This 462-nucleotide ribosomal RNA is filed under the name Bacillus subtilis. Its description in RNAcentral is "bacterial SSU rRNA". It matches the Rfam family "Bacterial small subunit ribosomal RNA", at positions 75 to 522 of the family's 1533-position model. Lineage: Bacteria; Bacillati; Bacillota; Bacilli; Caryophanales; Bacillaceae. The record is from RNAcentral.